GGCGGCGUAGCUCAGUCGGUAGAGCGGGGGUCUCAUAAGCCCUAUGUCGGUGGUUCGAGUCCACCCGCCGCCACCA
This 76-nucleotide transfer RNA is filed under the name candidate division NC10 bacterium RIFCSPLOWO2_02_FULL_66_22. RNAcentral describes it as "tRNA-Met". It matches the Rfam family "tRNA". Rfam says of the family: Transfer RNA (tRNA) molecules are approximately 80 nucleotides in length. Their secondary structure includes four short double-helical elements and three loops (D, anti-codon, and T loops). Further hydrogen bonds mediate the characteristic L-shaped molecular structure. tRNAs have two regions of fundamental functional importance: the anti-codon, which is responsible for specific mRNA codon recognition, and the 3' end, to which the tRNAs corresponding amino acid is attached (by aminoacyl-tRNA synthetases). tRNAs cope with the degeneracy of the genetic code in two manners: having more than one tRNA (with a specific anti-codon) for a particular amino acid; and 'wobble' base-pairing, i.e. permitting non-standard base-pairing at the 3rd anti-codon position. Lineage: Bacteria; Methylomirabilota (SeqCode). RNAcentral also lists the same sequence under 2 other names. The record is from RNAcentral.